UUAGAAUAACGAGAACGCAGUGAACGAGAUCUUGAAGCAUUUCCGUGUCGUUUGGCCACCACUGAAAAAAGAACAAGUUCUGCCGCAGAUGGGCGCCACUGUCGCAGAGUUCUGUGCUCACGUCCCAGUUGUCACUGCCGUGAGGGUGUGAGGAGUUAAUCUCGCUCUGGAAUGAAAGAAUUUCCUGCUUCUUUGAACACAGUGCCCAUUCUUCUCGCAUAGUCGCCAUUCUAUAGGAGGGACAAUGCUUUUGAUAUAUUCACUGUUUGCUGACGAUUUCUUGAAUUCCGUAUGGGAAAAGAAAAGGCUUGACUUAUUAAUUUUGGAUAUCACAAAUAUUAACGCGCCCUAAUGUUCCUUAGCUGCUCAUUAGUAAAUUCAUAACGAUGGUGGGUACCCCGACACUUUUACUGCUUUCUUUGGAAAUAGAGAUCAUUGUUGCUCGGCUAUUCCCAAAAAAAUAAGUAAAGAACAAAUGUUUAUCUGUGACGAUCGGAUUUAUAAACGUAACUUUAAACGAAGAAAUGAAUAACUCAAAAUUUCACCUUUUUGUCACUCUUACAAGAGCAUCUUUCCCUUUGUUCACAAUCUUAUGUUUCCACUGAUAAAACGCAAAUAAAAAUCACUGCCUGUAGCAAGUAGAA
Long non-coding RNA from Lingula anatina, 644 nucleotides. The record is from RefSeq and is a predicted model, not a curated record. Lineage: Eukaryota; Metazoa; Brachiopoda; Lingulata; Lingulida; Lingulidae.